This is a long non-coding RNA of Lonchura striata (white-rumped munia), 2279 nucleotides long. The record is from Ensembl. Lineage: Eukaryota; Metazoa; Chordata; Aves; Passeriformes; Estrildidae.
CUCAGCCUGGGGCACGCCCUUCCUGAGCGCCGCCUGUUCUCUUGGCCAGCUCCUCACGCUCAGACAGAGCUGGCUGUUGUCUCCUGAGGGUGUUGGUGCUGGGAGCCACCACCAACAUCACCCCUGUGGCGAAGUGCGGGGUUCCGGGCAGCCUGGAGCAUUCCUGGGCUUUUUUCCCUUGUGAGCCUCCCCACAGCAGGCAGAGGACGGCCACAGGAGCCAAGUCUGUGGUAGUGGUGGCCUUGGUGGCCUGUCCUGCCCACUUUUUGUGGCUGUUCUGGGUCCAGCCGUGCAGUUGAUGUCUGCUGGGCAUUACACCAGUCCCUGGGAGUGUCCGUGUCAGGUGGAACCCACUGCCUCGCUGCCAGCACCUGCAGGGUAAAAGGACCCAUCUGGAUGCUCCUCCUCUGCCGGGUGAAGGAGACCUGGCAAGCCCAGUGCUGGGGCUGUGGGGAGCACUCAGAGCAGUGCCCGUGGGGGUUUGUCAGCUCCUGCUCACCUGGACAUGGCUGGGCAGAGAGGAGGGCUGGCCCUGCCCCUGCUCUGGCCGCUGCUGCUGCUGCUGCUGCUGAGCCUCGCCUGCCUCGCCGUGCUGCACCUGGCUCUGGAAACCACCGCCAUGGGUGUGACAGCAACUGUGUCUCCAGCUCUCCUUACCUCCUCAACACCCAUGGAGAGCUCAACACUGCUGCCUACCACUGACUCCACCACCACAGACACCCUCCUUUCCUCCAGCCCUGAAACAGAAGCCUCCACCCCAGAGGAGUCCAGCACAUCCGCAGAGACUGGCAACACCUCACCUCCCACUGUGCUUCCUCCCACCACAACUACAGAAGAUUCAUCAGAAUCUACAGAAGAGUCCUUGGCAACCCUGGCAGAUACAACAGCCAGCCCUGUCAUCAGCACAUCAAACCCCACGAGCUCUCCCUCUUCAAGCUACCCAGGCAGGACCACUCCUGACAUCUUCCCCUCAACUGUGGAGUUGACUCCAGGCACUGAGCCCUCUUCCCCUGCCACCAGCUCAGCCCAGACCUCAGAGGCUACUACCCUCAGCACGCCUGCAGAGCUGCCAACACUGCCGCCAGUCUGCCCCUCUGGCUCAUCCAACACCAGUAAGUGCAGUGCCUACGGGCAUCUCCACCCCCAGCAUCGGUGCUUGGGGCCAGUGCAGGGGGUCCUGGAGCCCCACUCCUCUUGCUGUGCUCUCAGUGUGGAGGUGCUGAUGCUUUGGGGUACAUGGGGUUUGCUGUGCAGUGAGAGGCUUGUUGUGACAAUGUAGUGUGUCCAUGACACAAUUAACGUGGGAGGAUGUUCCAUGUCUGUGCCAGCAACCCUGGGGAGAGACCCUCAGGUCAUCUGGCCCAGCCCAGGGUUCAAGGGCAAUAACCAGAGUCCUGUUUUUAAUUCCUAGGUGCAUCUUACCUCUUUCUGUCGCUGCGGCUAACCACCCCUCUGGACCUGGGGAACACCACGGUGCAGGAGCUGGUGUUGUCCAAGGUGAGGUGUGCAGGAGGAGAUCCCACUCUGUAUCUGCCAGCUGUGGUUGACCCAGGGAGGGGAAUGGCUGCAUCUUACGUUGAAUGCCAUCCAGAGCUCUUUCAGAUGAAGGGGAGACCCUCCUUUGGCUGCCAUAGUCCAGGAUAAGGCCCUUUCUAUGUGGGGACAGUGGGUUGGAAGCCCCUCUGGCACAGUUUGAUGGCUGUUCUUUGCCCCCAGCUCCGUGAGGACCUGCAGACAGCGUUCCCGUGUGCUGGCCUGUCACUGGCAUGGCGAGGGAAGAGGAGGACCUGACCGCUGCCCCUCGCCUGGCCUGCUCCCACCUGGACUGCCCAGCCACCCGCUCCCAGCUCCUCACUCCAUGGUGGUGCAGGCCCCUGGGGAAUCCCACACAGCUCCUCUUGAACCUGGGCUUCCUGUCCUUCACUCUGUUCCCCCAGUCCCCUCCUGCCCCUUCCCACAGCCUGUCUGAAGAGCCCGUGCCCUCCCACCACCCUGCUCCAGACCUGGUUCCUGUGGUGGGACCCCUCCAGCUCUGCUGCAAGGCUGGAAGAAGGGGACCCCACGGGACUGGGCUUUUGCAUCUGGGACUGAUGGCUCAGCCAUCAAAGCCACCCUGGGGACAGAGAAAUGAGAGGAAGGAGACCUGAAGCCCCCAGUACUGCUGUUCCCAAGGCUCACCUGCAAUAUUGCUGACAGACGAGAACACCUGUGGUGGGCAGUAAAUAGAAAUUCCAUGUUUUCUGUGUUGAAACGAUGACUUCUUUUUUCAGUUUUCCAAG